This 1002-nucleotide ribosomal RNA is filed under the name Bacillus subtilis. RNAcentral describes it as "bacterial SSU rRNA". It matches the Rfam family "Bacterial small subunit ribosomal RNA", at positions 55 to 1039 of the family's 1533-position model. The record is from RNAcentral. Lineage: Bacteria; Bacillati; Bacillota; Bacilli; Caryophanales; Bacillaceae.
CUGCAGUCGAGCGGACAGAUGGGAGCUUGCUCCCUGAUGUUAGCGGCGGACGGGUGAGUAACACGUGGGUAACCUGCCUGUAAGACUGGGAUAACUCCGGGAAACCGGGGCUAAUACCGGAUGGUUGUCUGAACCGCAUGGUUCAGACAUAAAAGGUGGCUUCGGCUACCACUUACAGAUGGACCCGCGGCGCAUUAGCUAGUUGGUGAGGUAACGGCUCACCAAGGCGACGAUGCGUAGCCGACCUGAGAGGGUGAUCGGCCACACUGGGACUGAGACACGGCCCAGACUCCUACGGGAGGCAGCAGUAGGGAAUCUUCCGCAAUGGACGAAAGUCUGACGGAGCAACGCCGCGUGAGUGAUGAAGGUUUUCGGAUCGUAAAGCUCUGUUGUUAGGGAAGAACAAGUGCCGUUCAAAUAGGGCGGCACCUUGACGGUACCUAACCAGAAAGCCACGGCUAACUACGUGCCAGCAGCCGCGGUAAUACGUAGGUGGCAAGCGUUGUCCGGAAUUAUUGGGCGUAAAGGGCUCGCAGGCGGUUUCUUAAGUCUGAUGUGAAAGCCCCCGGCUCAACCGGGGAGGGUCAUUGGAAACUGGGGAACUUGAGUGCAGAAGAGGAGAGUGGAAUUCCACGUGUAGCGGUGAAAUGCGUAGAGAUGUGGAGGAACACCAGUGGCGAAGGCGACUCUCUGGUCUGUAACUGACGCUGAGGAGCGAAAGCGUGGGGAGCGAACAGGAUUAGAUACCCUGGUAGUCCACGCCGUAAACGAUGAGUGCUAAGUGUUAGGGGGUUUCCGCCCCUUAGUGCUGCAGCUAACGCAUUAAGCACUCCGCCUGGGGAGUACGGUCGCAAGACUGAAACUCAAAGGAAUUGACGGGGGCCCGCACAAGCGGUGGAGCAUGUGGUUUAAUUCGAAGCAACGCGAAGAACCUUACCAGGUCUUGACAUCCUCUGACAAUCCUAGAGAUAGGACGUCCCCUUCGGGGGCAGAGUGACAGGU